GGCCUCCUGGUGCUUACCGCAGGCUGUGGUUCUUACAAUGACCAAAUAUAAAGAAGAGACAAAGCAAAUCUACCCCAUAUACACCUCAGCCCAGGCCCUGUGCCUGGUCUGUAUUAUGAAUGGCUUGAGACAUGG
RNAcentral lists this small nucleolar RNA (135 nucleotides) under Castor canadensis (American beaver). Its description in RNAcentral is "Small nucleolar RNA SNORA51 (ENSCCNG00000004828.1)". It matches the Rfam family "Small nucleolar RNA SNORA51". From Rfam's summary of the family: ACA51 is a member of the H/ACA class of snoRNA that guide the sites of modification of uridines to pseudouridines. Lineage: Eukaryota; Metazoa; Chordata; Mammalia; Rodentia; Castoridae. The record is from Rfam by way of RNAcentral.